RNAcentral lists this long non-coding RNA (2800 nucleotides) under Homo sapiens (human). Its description in RNAcentral is "HSALNT0263147". Lineage: Eukaryota; Metazoa; Chordata; Mammalia; Primates; Hominidae. The record is from RNAcentral.
ACGGCGCACUGGUGCGGCUUCUCCCCUGCGGAAGACAGGGCGGGCCGCGAACGCAAGUCAGACUCUACAGCUCCCCGCCCCCACCCCACCCCACCCCCACCUGGGCUCCUGGACCUAGCAGGGGCUCCCCUCCCCUCCCGAACCACCACCCCGGGAUCCCUUGCCUAUCAGAGAACCCUCCCCUCACUAUGGGAUCUUCCUGCCCAGCAGGGACACCCCCUCCUCUCCAGGACCUCCCUUCACGUUGGGACUUUCCUGCCCAACAGGGAUCCUCAUACACUGUGAGGUACCCCUCUCCCAUCCCUUCCUGGCAGGGACCCCCUUUCUGUUAUCCUGGGAUAUCACUGUGACAGGGCACCCCUAAAUCCAGCAAGCACCCUGUCUGCAAGGAACCCAGCCUGUCUGGAACAUCUGUUGGCCAUCUGGACUGCCCACUGGGAUCUCCCUCUACCCUCAGGUUUAACUCUCCGAUGAGAGAUUGCUCCCUCUCCUCCCCCGCCCUGGCUCACCCGAGUGGAUGAACAUGUGCUUGGUGUAGUUUUUCCGGGAGCUGAACGUCUUGCGACAGUGGCUGCACUCAUACGCACCAGGCUCUGCCGUGGCCGCUUCCUCCUGACCGACUACAAGGCCGCACUUCCGGGCCGUUACCCCGGCGGAACGGAGGCCUGCGGUCGCGGCGGCGCAGGGGAAACCCUAGGCCGAAGCACGUUUCCGGUAUUUUUAUGGCGAUCAGCUCCCGCCAGUCUGCACUCCGGCUCUCCUCUUAGUCGGAACCAAAGUCGAAGAGGCUAGGGCUGCCGCGUCGCGAGGAAUGUCUGGACCAGAGCACUCUUCCGGCGUCGCCCAGGAGAUCAGGGGUGUGGCGGGCCUGCGCGAUCAAUCCGCAAGCUCCCUGUGAUGCAGAAUGGGAAGGCAGUUCCCGGCCCAAGUGCCCAACGUGUUCUGGCCAGUUUAAACCCCACUGCGAACCGGGGAAGUGGCCUUAUUCCUGUGACACGGGUGAGAGCUGAAGUAGGUCUCGGUCCCUGGCCGCCAGGAGGUGCAAGCAAGCUACCACUACUGCAGACGCUCCAGGCCCGCCCGCUGUGGGUGGGACUGGGGAAAGGACCCCAUCUCGGCCUUGGCACCUUCUACUACAACGCAGACAGGAAUAGACAACUGCCUCACCCUGCUCUGGGCCUCCCCUGAGCUAGACCCUGUGAGAUUCUGGGACAUUGCAAGUCAAUCUGGUAUGGGGGACAGAAUUCCGAAAAUGGCCCCCUCCGAGAUUUCCGUGCCCAAAUCCCCAGAACCUGUAAAUAUGAUUAUCUCACCUAUGAAUAGUUACACUACAUGGUGAAAGGGUUUUUGCGGAAAUAAUUAAGGUUACUCAUUAGCUGAUCUUAAAAUAGGAUAUGAUUCUGGAUUAUUUUGGUAGGUCCAAGGUAUCAUAAGGGUCCUUAAAGGCAGAAGAGGAAGGUGGAGAAACUUGAAGUAGGAGAAGGGUUCCAGAGGCUUUGAAGGUAGAGAGGUCCAUGAGAGGAAAUGCAACAGGACAGGUGUCAUGCUGAGAAUCUGAGAAGAGCUGCAACAACAGCCAGCAAGAAAACAGACCUCAUGGCCCGGCGCAGUGGCUCAUGCCUGUAAUCCCAGCACUUUGGGAGGCCAAGGCGGGUGGAUCACGUCAGGAGAUCGAGACCAUCCUGACUAACACAGUGAAACCCCAUCUCUACUAAAAAUACAGAAAAUUAGCUGGGCGUGGUGGCAGGCGCCUGUAGUCCCAGCUACUCGGGAGACUGAGGCAGGAGACUGGCAUGAACCCGGGAGGCGGAGCUUGAAGUGAGCUGAGAUCGCGCCACUGCACUCCAGCCUGGGCGACAGAACGAGACUCCGUCUCAAAAAAAAAAAAAAAAAAAAAAAAAAAAAAAGGCCGGGCGCGGUGGCUCACGCCUGUAAUCCCAGCACUGUGGGAGGCCGAGGCGGGCGGAUCAUGAGGUCAGGAGAUCGAGACCAUCCUGGCUAACACGGUGAAACCCCGUCUCUACUAAAAAUACAAAAAAAAAUUAGCCGAGCGCGGUGGCAGGCGCCUGUAGUCCCAGCUACUCAGGAGGCUGAGGCAGGAGAAUGGCGUGAACCCGGGAGGCGGAGCUUGCAGUGAGCCAAGAUAGCGCCACUGCAGUCGGGCCUGGGCGAAAGAGCGACACUCAGUCUCAAAAAAAAAAAAAAAAAAGAAAGAAAGAAAAGAAAACAGACCUUAGCCCUAGAAGUGCGUGGAGCUAGAUUCCGCCCACAACCUGAAUGAGCUUGGAAGCAAAUUCUUCCCCAGAGCCUCCAGAUAGCAGCUUAGUCCAUACCACACCUUGAUUUUAGCCUUUAUGAGACCCACAGAAGACCUACUUGGGCUUCUGACCUAUGGAAUGGUGAGCUAAUAAAUGGAUAUUGUUUUAACCUAUGGAGUUUUGGUAAUUUGUUAUAGUAACGAUAGAAAACAAAUACAUCUGGUGAGAUCCAGGGCCUCCACACAGUGAGAGUCCAAUAAAUGCCACUAUUUGUUUCCCAUCUGAUGAACGCAUUCCUCACAUUUCCCUCACUGAAAGCUUUAUUUCUGUGCCUUCCCAGCUUUUACCAGGCCCCUUCGUGAUCUCAUUCCUCAGGGAGCAGUUCUCACUUCCCCUAUCCCAGAGGACAGAGGGACUCGGCAGUGAAAGAGGGAACCAACUGUCCAAACGCAUGACUAGAACAAAGCCUCCAGAAGACAGACAGGGUCAGGAUGCCUGUCCUUCACCCAGGACAGCUACUGGGUGAUUGUGUUGUAGAUGUG